GCGUCAGUGUUCUGUGAAUGUGUUGGUAGGUGCGCUACACCUUUAUUCCAUUAUUUCAUGAAUAGGAAUUAGGAAACAGUGAGGUCGAUCGAAAUCAUCCGUCGUACCCGUCGUACCAGUAAUAACCCGACAACCUCGUGACAGACUUCAGUGAACUUUAACUAGCGUUAAUUCAUGAGAUAAAGCCGGAUAAAGUAAGACAAGAACUAGACGACAUUAAAUUUCACCUGGAGUUCUGAGAUUUCUCUGAUAUUUUGUACGGCCUAAUUCCACAAAGUCCGAUCCUAGUUCCAAUUUUUAAAAGUGCAACGUAUCAGUAGGCACGUUGGUUAACGUUUCUUCUAACUGUGAAGCUUGCUGUUGAGUAAGUUAUUUUACUGUCGUGGGAAACGUCGGGAAAAAUAAAUCGAAGAUGCUAGGAUUUGGAUACAUGCUGUUGGUGAUGCUCAUCGUGGCAACUAUCAGCAUUGCCGAAAACUCUCGCACUCACGAAGGCCUUUUGCCAAGUUCGGCAUUUCACCAUGCUGUGCCAAUUGGACAAGAAGCACUGGAUUUGAUCCCUGAAUUUUGAAACUCAGUCAAAAUUCAGUUCAAUGUCCACCCACAUUCUGUAUAAUAAUUUUUCUGUCCUGAAUUCCAUUGUCAGUUUUUCUUCUUUUGCUUUUAUUUUAAUUUGAUUGACAUUUCAAUUAAUUUUGAAGACAUCAUUUUACGACACAAAUUUAUCUUUAAAAAAGAAAUGUAACGUGCUAAAAUGAAUUUUCUAUGAGAAUUAUACCUGCCUCUGAUGUUCCAAUAUAGAAUCUUAAAUCGUA
RNAcentral lists this long non-coding RNA (815 nucleotides) under Daphnia pulex (common water flea). RNAcentral describes it as "uncharacterized LOC124207674, transcript variant X1". Lineage: Eukaryota; Metazoa; Arthropoda; Branchiopoda; Diplostraca; Daphniidae. The record is from RNAcentral.